Molecule: small RNA, 96 nt
Filed under: Flavobacterium caeni
Lineage: Bacteria; Pseudomonadati; Bacteroidota; Flavobacteriia; Flavobacteriales; Flavobacteriaceae
Description: Flavo-1 RNA
Rfam family: Flavo-1 RNA
Source: Rfam by way of RNAcentral
AUUGCGCCAGGGAUGGCAGCGGCAUCCUUUUGCGGCCGCAGUCCCGACACUUCGGGACGGAGGCCGUAAAAGAUACAGCGGACAGCCCGCCCGUGG